AUGGGAUUUGAUGCUGCUCCUAAUGGCCUUCUUGGCUCCAUACAAAUGGCGCCUGGGAGCCUUGGAUUGGAUCUGAUGGUCCUACAACAGCUAAGGGCACGGACGUUGCAUUUGGUCCGCAACUCGCAUGACCUGGGGAGAUGCUUGCAAGUUUUGCGGGUUCAAGCGGCGACUUUCUUUCAUUCCCGCGACCUGGACGUCAUUGGCAAGGAACAAUCCGUGCAGGUUGGUGGGUUUGUCGUUCGUCUGGACUCUGCGCCUCCUGCCUUAAUGGUUGUCUCCGACAAAGAAGUAUUAUCUGAAUCAAGUUUAGCAAUUAACUAUUGA
RNAcentral lists this ribosomal RNA (327 nucleotides) under Triticum aestivum (bread wheat). Its description in RNAcentral is "partial small subunit ribosomal RNA". The record is from RNAcentral. Lineage: Eukaryota; Viridiplantae; Streptophyta; Magnoliopsida; Poales; Poaceae.